Molecule: ribosomal RNA, 576 nt
Filed under: Triticum aestivum (bread wheat)
Lineage: Eukaryota; Viridiplantae; Streptophyta; Magnoliopsida; Poales; Poaceae
Description: partial small subunit ribosomal RNA
Source: RNAcentral
AUGGCUCACAGGGCGUGUCCCGGGAAGGAAGGAAGGAAGGAAGGAAGGAAGGAGGGAGGGGCUAGGUCUUCAACUCAUGGUGGUUCUACAACUCAAGCCAGAGACCUAGGGGAAAAGUUCAAAUACCUAAACCUUCGCGAGGAUGAAGAGGAGGACGUCGUUCUAGAGGAUGAUCUCGAAGAGAUGGAGAAGGAUGCUAAAUUUAUGACACUGGCCAGGAUUCAUACCACACAUACCUUUAGCCAUGGUGCCUUCUUUGGUGCCAUGCGAUCUGCGUGGAACCUUGCACAAGAAGUGGGAGUUAGGGCUAUCAAAGACAACCUUUUCUCAGUGCAACAGAAUUGUUUGGCAGACUCGGAGUGUGUGAUGCGCGACGAUCCAUGGUUAUUCCGUAAUUGUCCAGUGUUGUUGGCUAGCUAUGAUGGUUGGUCCGAACCGGAAGAUACAGACUUGUUCACAUAUCAGGCAUGGGGUAAGAGUCAUGGGAUUAAAGGAAAAAAAUGCACAUUGGGAGCAUCGCGUCGCGGCUGGCCACGAAAGCGGGCGUGGUGGAAUUUGUGGACGAGCGGUCAGUGA